Molecule: ribosomal RNA, 447 nt
Filed under: uncultured bacterium
Lineage: Bacteria
Description: bacterial SSU rRNA
Rfam family: Bacterial small subunit ribosomal RNA
Source: RNAcentral
UGGGGAAUAUUGGACAAUGGGCGAAAGCCUGAUCCAGCCAUGCCGCGUGGAUGAUGAAGGCCUUAGGGUUGUAAAAUCCUUUCGCCGAGGACGAUAAUGACGGUACUCGGAGAAGAAGCUCCGGCUAACUUCGUGCCAGCAGCCGCGGUAAUACGAAGGGGGCUAGCGUUGUUCGGAUUUACUGGGCGUAAAGCGCGUGUAGGCGGGUCGUUAAGUUGGGGGUGAAAUCCCGAGGCUCAACCUCGGAACUGCCUUCAAAACUGGCGACCUGGACCUAAGUAGAGGCAAGUGGAAUUGCGAGUGUAGAGGUGAAAUUCGUAGAUAUUCGCAGGAACACCAGUGGCGAAGGCGACUUGCUGGACCUAUGGUGACGCUGAGACGCGAAAGCGUGGGGAGCAAACAGGAUUAGAUACCCCCGUAGUCCCUGAGCGGGCUGGCAAGGCGCAU